Molecule: long non-coding RNA, 212 nt
Filed under: Sorghum bicolor (sorghum)
Lineage: Eukaryota; Viridiplantae; Streptophyta; Magnoliopsida; Poales; Poaceae
Description: long non-coding RNA (SBIC_LNC010570)
Source: RNAcentral
CCUUUUAUAGCACCAAGGAGAGACCCAGGGUACAUGUAUAGGUGUCAGAGUAGGGGUCGAUAGAAGCAUGGCGCGCUGACCUACUCGAGGCCUCCGUACCGGCGUGGUCUCGAGCCGUCCCGUCUCGGUAGCUUGAUGAUGAUUACGCGUGCUCCUGUAUCCUGCUCUGCGCGCCGUCUUGGGCUGGUUCACCGGUCGCAUGCCUGUACGGU